This 71-nucleotide transfer RNA is filed under the name Bos taurus (domestic cattle). It matches the Rfam family "tRNA". From Rfam's summary of the family: Transfer RNA (tRNA) molecules are approximately 80 nucleotides in length. Their secondary structure includes four short double-helical elements and three loops (D, anti-codon, and T loops). Further hydrogen bonds mediate the characteristic L-shaped molecular structure. tRNAs have two regions of fundamental functional importance: the anti-codon, which is responsible for specific mRNA codon recognition, and the 3' end, to which the tRNAs corresponding amino acid is attached (by aminoacyl-tRNA synthetases). tRNAs cope with the degeneracy of the genetic code in two manners: having more than one tRNA (with a specific anti-codon) for a particular amino acid; and 'wobble' base-pairing, i.e. permitting non-standard base-pairing at the 3rd anti-codon position. RNAcentral also lists the same sequence under 2 other names. The record is from Rfam by way of RNAcentral. Lineage: Eukaryota; Metazoa; Chordata; Mammalia; Artiodactyla; Bovidae.
UCCCUGGUAGCUCAGUGGUAAAGAAUCUGCCUGCAAUGCAGGAGACCUGGGUUCAAUCACUGGCUUGGGAA